This 468-nucleotide ribosomal RNA is filed under the name uncultured bacterium. RNAcentral's name for it is "partial 16S ribosomal RNA". It matches the Rfam family "Bacterial small subunit ribosomal RNA", at positions 28 to 507 of the family's 1533-position model. The record is from RNAcentral.
GACGAACGCUGGCGGCGUGCUUAACACAUGCAAGUCGAACGGAAAGGCCCUGCUUUUGUGGGGUGCUCGAGUGGCGAACGGGUGAGUAACACGUGAGUAACCUGCCCUUGACUUUGGGAUAACUUCAGGAAACUGGGGCUAAUACCGGAUAGGAGCUCCUGCUGCAUGGUGUGGGUUGGAAAGUUUCGGCGGUUGGGGAUGGACUCGCGGCUUAUCAGCUUGCUGGUGGGGUAGUGGCUUACCAAGGCUUUGACGGGUAGCCGGCCUGAGAGGGUGACCGGCAACAUUGGGCCUGAGAUACGGCCCAGAGUCCUACGGGAGGCAGCAGUGGGGAAUAUUGCACAAUGGGCGGAAGCCUGAUGCAGCAACGCCGCGUGCGGGAUGACGGCCUUCGGGUUGUAAACCGCUUUAGCCUGUGACGAAGCGUGAGUGACGGUAAUGGGUAAAGAAGCACCGGCUAACUACGUG